CAGCUGUAAACGAUGCAGACUAGGUGUUUGGACGGCCACGUGCCGUUCUAGUGCCGCAGGGAAGCUGUUAAGUCUGCCGCCUGGGGAGUACGAUCGCAAGAUUGAAACUUAAAGGAAUUGGCGGGAGAGCACCACAAGGGGUGAAGCUUGCGGUUUAAUUGGAGUCAACGCCGGAAAUCUCACCGGGAGCGACAGCAGUAUGAAAGCCAGAUUGAAGGUCUUGCUAGACGAGCUGAGAGGAGGUGCAUGGCGUCAGUGACU
RNAcentral lists this ribosomal RNA (261 nucleotides) under uncultured archaeon. RNAcentral's name for it is "partial 16S ribosomal RNA". It matches the Rfam family "Archaeal small subunit ribosomal RNA", at positions 748 to 1008 of the family's 1478-position model. The record is from RNAcentral.